RNAcentral lists this long non-coding RNA (388 nucleotides) under Takifugu rubripes (torafugu). RNAcentral describes it as "lncRNA (ENSTRUG00000027630.1)". The record is from RNAcentral. Lineage: Eukaryota; Metazoa; Chordata; Actinopteri; Tetraodontiformes; Tetraodontidae.
ACACACAAAGCCAGCAGCAGACACACACCCAUCCAGCCACCCACAAACACAUAGAUAUACACACAGACCCAUGCAUAGCCAGCACCCCCCCAACACACACACACACACACACACACACACACACACACACACACACACACACACAGAGUUUGUGGAAAGGGGACAGUGAUCAGCUCAGGACAGCUGCAGCAGCCUCAGAUGGUGGCCCCUGGAGCAAUGCAGGACGUACACAGAAGGGACUGGGUUGGAUUUGGAUUGCCUUAAGACUGUUCUUCACAUGAGAGUAGACAAGGAUAAAACUUGUAGGAACCAGAUGGAUCCUCCAAACCACGAGGGGGCAGCAUUUCAAGCUGACAUGAACUGGAGAGGUAGGUCAUUGAGCAUGCUA